UUUUUUUGACAUCCACAUUAAGUUAUUAUGUAAGUUAUAUGUAUGCUGUAUAUUUUAAUAUA
RNAcentral lists this small RNA (62 nucleotides) under Arabidopsis thaliana (thale cress). Its description in RNAcentral is "ATSL212780". Lineage: Eukaryota; Viridiplantae; Streptophyta; Magnoliopsida; Brassicales; Brassicaceae. The record is from RNAcentral.